GAUGAACGCUGGCGGCGUGCCUAAUACAUGCAAGUCGAGCGAACAGACGAGGAGCUUGCUCCUCUGACGUUAGCGGCGGACGGGUGAGUAACACGUGGAUAACCUACCUAUAAGACUGGGAUAACUUCGGGAAACCGGAGCUAAUACCGGAUAAUAUAUUGAACCGCAUGGUUCAAUAGUGAAAGACGGUUUUGCUGUCACUUAUAGAUGGAUCCGCGCCGCAUUAGCUAGUUGGUAAGGUAACGGCUUACCAAGGCAACGAUGCGUAGCCGACCUGAGAGGGUGAUCGGCCACACUGGGACUGAGACACGGCCCAGACUCCUACGGGAGGCAGCAGUAGGGAAUUUUCGGCAAUGGGCGGAAGCCUGACCGAGCAACGCCGCGUGAGGGACGAAGGUCUUCGGAUCGUAAACCUUUGUCAUCGAGGACGAUAAUGACGGUACUCGAGGAGGAAGCCCCGGCUAACUACGUG
This 472-nucleotide ribosomal RNA is filed under the name uncultured bacterium. RNAcentral's name for it is "partial 16S ribosomal RNA". It matches the Rfam family "Bacterial small subunit ribosomal RNA", at positions 28 to 507 of the family's 1533-position model. The record is from RNAcentral.